Molecule: small nucleolar RNA, 185 nt
Filed under: Oryzias latipes (Japanese medaka)
Lineage: Eukaryota; Metazoa; Chordata; Actinopteri; Beloniformes; Adrianichthyidae
Description: Small nucleolar RNA SNORA74 (ENSORLG00020009055.1)
Source: RNAcentral
CCCAGUCCUCAGUCAGCUGGCAGACUGGUGUCUGUCAGUGUUACAGGGCUGGUAGAGGAAGUUCUGCAGGCGCCUCGAUGCAUGCUCGGUUCUAGAGCGUGUCUGUGAGGUGCUGCAGAAGAACGCAGGUCUGUCAGAUCUGUCCUGAUCCACUGCAGUUCAGAUGCAGCAGAGCUGCACACGCC